UCACAGGGGUCGGUGGGGCCCUUUUGUUCCUGCUCCUGCUCGUGGGUGUCAUUGUGGCCUGGCACUGGUGGCACCGCUGGGAUGCCAGGAGGCACCAGCAAAGGGCACCCCCAGAGCCCCUGGCACCCUCAGUGGAGGAUCCUCAGGCGACGUACAUGGAGCUGCAAUGGCAACCGUGGGAACCCAGGGACAUCUAUGACAAUCUACACCAGAAGUUGUGAUGCUCUGGGAAGCAGGAGGCACUGGGUGACACUGGGGGUGCUCCCUCCAUGGCUCCUGUGCUUGCCCAUCCUUCCAAGGGAGGUGGUCAUGGGUCAGGGGGAGGCUACACAGGGCACCCUCUGCUCCCCAUUUCCUCUCCCACUACCCCCAAGGGCUCCCCCAUCCCUUUCCUCGUACCUGCAGGGCCUCCCCAGCCCCAUCCCAGUGCCCAAGUACCCUCAGUGACUGCCCCAUUCUCUCCCCACAGUGCUUGCAGUACAGCCAGGGCUUCCCCAUUCCCCCUCCCACUACCCCUGUCCCAUCCCGCUGUAAAAGGGGGAGUUGGGGAGGAUUCCUUCUGAGAGGUUUCUCAGAUGAAAAUGAAGCACAAACAUGGCUAUAUUA
Molecule: long non-coding RNA, 606 nt
Organism: Haemorhous mexicanus (house finch)
Lineage: Eukaryota; Metazoa; Chordata; Aves; Passeriformes; Fringillidae
Exons: 3
Source: RefSeq, a predicted model, not a curated record